RNAcentral lists this non-coding RNA (266 nucleotides) under Paenibacillus uliginis. RNAcentral's name for it is "T-box sequence". It matches the Rfam family "T-box leader". Rfam says of the family: Uncharged tRNA acts as the effector for transcription antitermination of genes in the T-box leader family. T-boxes are found upstream of many aminoacyl-tRNA synthetase genes and some amino acid biosynthetic genes usually in Gram-positive bacteria. Lineage: Bacteria; Bacillati; Bacillota; Bacilli; Caryophanales; Paenibacillaceae. The record is from RNAcentral.
GAAAAAGCAAUGAAGAGAAAGAGUACUAUGGUGAUAUCUUUGAACAGAGAGCUCCGGUAGCUGAAAAGGAGUAAAGAAGAUCUGUGGGAAUAUGGUCUCUGAGCUGCGCAUCGAACCCCGAUUGGGAUGUAGGCUGCGCCGGAACCCGCAUCCGUUACCAUGCUAGGGUAUACUCGCGUAAUUACGCGCCGUACCUGAAGAGGUGAAUGCCGCGAGGCAUUUAUAAAAUUGGGUGGUACCACGUGAGCAGAGCUCUCGUCCCUUUG